UGGGGAAUAUUGCACAAUGGGCGCAAGCCUGAUGCAGCAACGCCGCGUGAGGGAUGACGGCCUUCGGGUUGUAAACCUCUUUUAGCAGGGAAGAAGCGAAAGUGACGGUACCUGCAGAAAAAGCACCGGCUAACUACGUGCCAGCAGCCGCGGUAAUACGUAGGGUGCAAGCGUUGUCCGGAAUUAUUGGGCGUAAAGAGCUCGUAGGCGGUCUGUCGCGUCUGCUGUGAAAUCCCGAGGCUCAACCUCGGGCCUGCAGUGGGUACGGGCAGACUAGAGUGCGGUAGGGGAGAAUGGAACUCCUGGUGUAGCGGUGGAAUGCGCAGAUAUCAGGAAGAACACCGAUGGCGAAGGCAGUUCUCUGGGCCGUAACUGACGCUGAGGAGCGAAAGCGUGGGGAGCGAACAGGAUUAGAUACCCUGGUAGUCCACGCCGUAAACGUUGGGCGCUAGAUGUGGGGACCAUUCCACGGUUUCCGUGUCGCAGCUAACGCAUUAAGCGCCCGCCUGGGGAGUACGGCCGCAAGGCUAAAACUCAAAGGAAUUGACGGGGUCAUAGCUG
RNAcentral lists this ribosomal RNA (561 nucleotides) under uncultured bacterium. RNAcentral describes it as "partial 16S ribosomal RNA". It matches the Rfam family "Bacterial small subunit ribosomal RNA", at positions 355 to 932 of the family's 1533-position model. The record is from RNAcentral.